CAGCACUACCCUCAAUUCUACCCACUAUUACUUCAAACAUUGCUCCGUCAGAUCCCCCUACAACACUUGCCACGCCAUCCACAUAUUUCACCGCAACGACAAAUACAACAACCACAACAAUCGUAAUAGGUAAAAAGUGGACAUUUUUAUUAGUCUUUUCCAUCAUUGCAAUCUGUUUGGUUCUUGUGCUGGGUUGCUGCAUUCGCCAAGUAAAGUGCCUACGCAUUAUUCGCGGACCUACAUAUCAAUAAGGCAUUGCUUUCAAAACUACCGAGAGAAACGAUGAAAUAAUGGAAAUCCAGCCCUAAUUAAAGCUCAAGUUUACAGUACAAGCUGGAUUGUUUUAGUAUAUAAACAAGACAAAAAUGUAGAAAGCUUUGUUUAGACAAAAACAUAACCAAGUAAAAUUGCAAUAUUUAAUUAUACAUAAAAAUAUUUUUAAAAUUCGAUUGCCAUACACAGAAGUUAUUAUUAAUUUAACCGUUUAUUUAUAUUUUUUAAUUAAAAAUGGUCAUAAAUGAAGCUAAAACAAUGUUACAACCAAAAAUGCUCUAAGCGUUUGCAACAUUACACAAUAUAUUUGUUAGCUUUUUUUGUACCUGCUGAAAAGAGCCGCAUUUGAAAAUUUUACUGGAAAUGAGUUUACACUUUUUUCUCCAACACUUUGAA
Long non-coding RNA from Physella acuta, 669 nucleotides. RefSeq lists it as uncharacterized. NCBI's taxonomy places the organism in Eukaryota, Metazoa, Mollusca, Gastropoda, Physidae. The record is from RefSeq and is a predicted model, not a curated record.